CCUACGGGAGGCAGCAGUGGGGAAUAUUGCACAAUGGGGGAAACCCUGAUGCAGCGACGCCGCGUGAGUGAAGAAGUAAUUCUUUAUGUAAAGCUCUAUCUGCAGGGAAGAAAAUGACGGUACCUGAGUAAGACUCCCCGGCUAACUCCGUUCCAGCAGCCGCGGUAAUACGUAGGGGGCAAGCGUUAUCCGGAUUUACUGGGCGUAAGGGGAGCGUAGACGGCAGUGCAAGUCUGUGGUGAAAGGCGGGGGCUCAACCCCCGGACUGCUCUGGAAACUGUACGGCUGGAGAGCAGGAGCGGUAAGUGGAAUUCCUAGUGUAGCGGUGAAAUGCGUAGAGAUUAGGAGGAACACCAGUGGCGAAGGCGGCUUACUGGACUGUAACUGACGUUGAGGCUCGAAAGCGUGGGGAGCAAACAGGAUUAGAUACCCGAGUAGUC
Molecule: ribosomal RNA, 440 nt
Filed under: uncultured bacterium
Lineage: Bacteria
Description: partial 16S ribosomal RNA
Rfam family: Bacterial small subunit ribosomal RNA
Source: RNAcentral